CGUGCCUACGGGAGGCAGCAGUGAGGAAUAUUGGUCAAUGGGCGGAAGCCUGAACCAGCCAAGUCGCGUGAGGGACUAAGGCCCUACGGGUCGUAAACCUCUUUUGCCGGGGAUCAGUGCCCAGCUCGCGAGCUGGGAGGGAGCGUACCCGGAGAAAAAGCAUCGGCUAACUCCGUGCCAGCAGCCGCGGUAAUACGGAGGAUGCGAGCGUUAUCCGGAUUUAUUGGGUUUAAGGGGUGCGUAGGCGGGCCUUCAGGCCGGCGGUAAAAUUGCGGGG
RNAcentral lists this ribosomal RNA (277 nucleotides) under uncultured bacterium. RNAcentral's name for it is "partial 16S ribosomal RNA". It matches the Rfam family "Bacterial small subunit ribosomal RNA", at positions 334 to 607 of the family's 1533-position model. The record is from RNAcentral.